AUGACAAAGAAGAGUUUGAUCCUGGCUCAGGAUGAACGCUAGCGAUAGGCUUAACACAUGCAAGUCGA
Molecule: ribosomal RNA, 68 nt
Filed under: Porphyromonas sp. COT-108 OH2963
Lineage: Bacteria; Pseudomonadati; Bacteroidota; Bacteroidia; Bacteroidales; Porphyromonadaceae
Also listed under: 1 other name
Description: partial 16S ribosomal RNA
Rfam family: Bacterial small subunit ribosomal RNA
Source: RNAcentral